This 1416-nucleotide ribosomal RNA is filed under the name Vibrio parahaemolyticus. RNAcentral's name for it is "partial 23S ribosomal RNA". It matches the Rfam family "Bacterial large subunit ribosomal RNA", at positions 1551 to 2925 of the family's 2925-position model. The record is from RNAcentral. Lineage: Bacteria; Pseudomonadati; Pseudomonadota; Gammaproteobacteria; Vibrionales; Vibrionaceae.
UAAGGCUGAGACACGACGUCGAGCACCUACGGGUGUGAAGUCAUUGAUGCCAUGCUUCCAGGAAAAGCCUCUAAGCUUCAGAUUGUAAGGAAUCGUACCCCAAACCGACACAGGUGGUCGGGUAGAGAAUACCAAGGCGCUUGAGAGAACUCGGGUGAAGGAACUAGGCAAAAUGGUACCGUAACUUCGGGAGAAGGUACGCUCUUGAUGGUGAAGUCCCUUGCGGAUGGAGCUGACGAGAGUCGCAGAUACCAGGUGGCUGCAACUGUUUAUUAAAAACACAGCACUGUGCAAAAUCGUAAGAUGACGUAUACGGUGUGACGCCUGCCCGGUGCCGGAAGGUUAAUUGAUGGGGUUAGACUUCGGUCGAAGCUCUUGAUCGAAGCCCCGGUAAACGGCGGCCGUAACUAUAACGGUCCUAAGGUAGCGAAAUUCCUUGUCGGGUAAGUUCCGACCUGCACGAAUGGCGUAAUGAUGGCCACGCUGUCUCCACCCGAGACUCAGUGAAAUUGAAAUCGCUGUGAAGAUGCAGUGUACCCGCGGCUAGACGGAAAGACCCCGUGAACCUUUACUACAGCUUGGCACUGAACAUUGACCCUACAUGUGUAGGAUAGGUGGGAGGCUUUGAAGCACGUACGCCAGUAUGUGUGGAGCCGUCCUUGAAAUACCACCCUUGUAGUGUUGAUGUUCUAACGUCGACCCCUUAUCGGGGUUGCGGACAGUGCCUGGUGGGUAGUUUGACUGGGGCGGUCUCCUCCCAAAGAGUAACGGAGGAGCACGAAGGUGGGCUAAUCACGGUUGGACAUCGUGAGGUUAGUGCAAUGGCAUAAGCCCGCUUGACUGCGAGAAUGACAAUUCGAGCAGGUGCGAAAGCAGGUCAUAGUGAUCCGGUGGUUCUGAAUGGAAGGGCCAUCGCUCAACGGAUAAAAGGUACUCCGGGGAUAACAGGCUGAUACCGCCCAAGAGUUCAUAUCGACGGCGGUGUUUGGCACCUCGAUGUCGGCUCAUCACAUCCUGGGGCUGAAGUCGGUCCCAAGGGUAUGGCUGUUCGCCAUUUAAAGUGGUACGCGAGCUGGGUUUAGAACGUCGUGAGACAGUUCGGUCCCUAUCUGCCGUGGGCGUUGGAAGAUUGAAGGGGGCUGCUCCUAGUACGAGAGGACCGGAGUGGACGAACCUCUGGUGUUCGGGUUGUGUCGCCAGACGCAUUGCCCGGUAGCUAAGUUCGGAAUCGAUAACCGCUGAAAGCAUCUAAGCGGGAAGCGAGCCCUGAGAUGAGUCUUCCCUGAUACUUUAAGUAUCCUAAAGGGUUGUCGGAGACUACGACGUUGAUAGGUCAGGUGUGUAAGUGCUGUGAGGCAUUGAGCUAACUGAUACUAAUUGCCCGUGAGGCUUAACCAUACAACACCCAAGGGGUUU